UAGGGAAUCUUCGGCAAUGGGGGGAACCCUGACCGAGCAACGCCGCGUGAGUGAAGAAGGUUUUCGGAUCGUAAAGCUCUGUUGUUAAGGAAGAACGAGUGUGAGAAUGGAAAGUUCAUACUGUGACGGUACUUAACCAGAAAGGGACGGCUAACUACGUGCCAGCAGCCGCGGUAAUACGUAGGUCCCGAGCGUUGUCCGGAUUUAUUGGGCGUAAAGCGAGCGCUGGCGGUUAGAUAAGUCUGAAGUUAAAGACAGUGGCUCAACCAUUGUAUGCUUUGGAAACUGUUUGACUUGAGUGCAGAAGAGGGGAGUGGAAUUCCGUGUGUAGCGGUGAAAUGCGUAGAUAUAUGGAGGAACACCGGUGGCGAAAGCGGCUCUCUGGUCUGUAACUGACGCUGAGGAUCGAAAGCGUGGGGAGCGAACAGG
Molecule: ribosomal RNA, 429 nt
Filed under: Bacteroidota bacterium
Lineage: Bacteria; Pseudomonadati; Bacteroidota
Description: Bacteroidetes bacterium partial 16S ribosomal RNA
Rfam family: Bacterial small subunit ribosomal RNA
Source: RNAcentral